Molecule: ribosomal RNA, 474 nt
Filed under: uncultured bacterium
Lineage: Bacteria
Description: partial 16S ribosomal RNA
Rfam family: Bacterial small subunit ribosomal RNA
Source: RNAcentral
GACGAACGCUGGCGGCGUGCUUAACACAUGCCAGUCGAGCGGUAAGGCUCCUUCGGGAGUACACGAGCGGCGAACGGGUGAGUAACACGUGAGUAAUCUGCCCUUCACUUCGGGAUAACCACCGGAAACGGUGGCUAAUACCGAAUACGACCAGUCUUCGCAUGAGGUGCUGGUGGAAAGUCUUUUCGGUGAAGGAUGUGCUCGCGGCCUAUCAGCUUGUUGGUGGGGUAAUGGCCUACCAAGGCUUCGACGGGUAGCCGGCCUGAGAGGGUGACCGGCCACACUGGGACUGAGACACGGCCCAGACUCCUACGGGAGGCAGCAGUGGGGAAUAUUGGACAAUGGGCGAAAGCCUGAUCCAGCAACGCCGCGUGAGGGAUGACGGCCUUCGGGUUGUAAACCUCUUUCAGUACCGACGAAGCGCCCUGUCGGGUGGUGACGGUAGGUACAGAAGAAGGACCGGCCAACUACGUG